GAGAGGUGAAACAAUUCAAGAGAGAGAGGUGAGAAACAAGUUUGACCUAUAUUUUUGCGGUUUUCUCAUGUGAAUGGACACAGGAUUUAAGGGAGGUCUCAGAGCGCACAGGAAAGCUAAGGUUGCACAGCCAGCUGUUGCUCAUGGUAUAAAUGUAGGUGUAGAAAUUAAACCUAUUGAAAAGGUCAUGAGAAGACCAACAUCUCCCCCGUCCCGAACGUCCCCCAUUAACAUCUCUAAAGUCUGUCUAUGUUUCUUCUGUCUUCUAUCUUUAAACCAACCAAAAGCUCCCUUUAGGUUCCCUGGAUUGGUCUACAGAAACAGUUGCUGACUUUUUAAGAGGGUCGCCGUCGGAGAGAGGAUAACAUGGUUGAGAUUCGUAGGAAUCGUCGAGAAGAGAAUUUGCAGAAGAAGCGUCGUGAAGGCUUUUAAUCUGCUGCUUCUCAGCAAUUUCCUUCUUCUGCUGCUCCUUUUGAUAAGAAGAUUGAAAGUCUGCCACAGAUGGUUGCCGGUGUUUGUUCAGAUGAUGGGGCUGCUCAUCUUGAAGCUACUACUCACUUCCGAAAGCUGCUUUCGAUAGAGCGUAACCCACCUAUUGAAGAGGUUGUUCAAUCAGGAGUUGUUCCUCGUCUUGUUGAAUUUUUGGGUAGAGAUGACUACCCUCAGCUUCAGUUUGAGGCUGCUUGGGCACUUACUAAUAUUGCAUCUGGCACAUCGGAGAACACUAAGGUUGUCAUUGGUAUGCUACAUAGCCAUUGUCUCUAAAUACUGUUGAUUUAUGCAAAGUCAUGGUUGGAGUUCAUUAAGUGAGUUUAUUUUCAUUGAAUUUAUACUCAAGCUCCCUAAAUACAUAUGUGGUAAUCAGUUUGUUUUCACUGAAUUCAAAUUUUUCAUUAUGUUUGUCAGGAAAGUGGUGGUGUUUAUUUUCUUAUUUUAUUUGAUACUGCAGAUUGAUGGGAUAUUGACCAUACGAAUGUGACUCGAUCUCAAAUGUAAAUCCAGAACCAAUUAAGCAUAGGCAAGAUGAAUUGUGAUGUGUAAUAGAGGAUAGUGCUUUUUAUAAUUAAUCAAAGGUAGCUUUUAUUUCCACAAAGAAUAUGUUGUACAAGAUGCAGCCUUUGAUGAUGUAUACAAUUUUUUAAAGGUGAGCAAAUUAUUUAGGCAUGGACAAACUAUAUGGAGGUGAGCAAACUAUUUUAGGGUAAUGUAAUUUGAAUAUGAUAUUUAGGAGUGAGAAAAUUCUUUAGGGGUGAACAAAUUAUUUUAGGGUAAUGUAUGUGUGAGCAAUUUAUUUAGGAGUGAGGUAAUUUGUAUAUGAGUUUUAGUGGUGGGCAAUUUAUUUUUAAGUAAGUUAAUUGUAUAUGACAUUUAGGGGGUGAGAAAACUAUUUAAAGGUGGAUAAUUUUGUAUGAUUGCUAGGGUUAUAAAUUCUACAAGGAUAAGUAAAUACUUUAGGGGUGAGUAAUUUUUAUAAAGGUGAGGUAAU
RNA transcript from Chenopodium quinoa (quinoa), 1486 nucleotides. It is a transcript of the gene named importin subunit alpha-like, with no coding region annotated. The record is from RefSeq and is a predicted model, not a curated record. NCBI's taxonomy places the organism in Eukaryota, Viridiplantae, Streptophyta, Magnoliopsida, Caryophyllales, Amaranthaceae. The transcript is spliced from 5 exons.